GAGACAUUCUUAUAGACCUCUGCAUUCGACAAGGAGGAAAGCAUCAUUUUCUGUGCUGAAAAGAUUGUUUUUUUGGAUGAAGUUAGUUCAAGCAUAAGAUGAAGAAAGGCACAGAGGAUCCUUUCCAGUAUGAGCCUGGACCUGGGAAUUCACACUCUGAUGGACAAAGCUCACCUCAACCAUUUACUGUGCAGGAAUAUAUUUCCAACCUCUCUGAGGAUGACUGGAUGGCUUUCAGUAGCCUGUUGAAUCCCCCUAUGACAAGGAGCCAGUUUGUAGAGAUUUGUCAGACUGUGUUGAAGGUGGCCAGCUCUAGCUCCAUGGGUAUGAUUCUACCAGUGUUUGCACGUAUGGAGAGAGAUCUGGAGUGCUACUCAUAUAGCCCCUCAAGGUAA
Engraulis encrasicolus (European anchovy) is the source of this 395-nucleotide long non-coding RNA. RefSeq lists it as uncharacterized. The record is from RefSeq and is a predicted model, not a curated record. Lineage: Eukaryota; Metazoa; Chordata; Actinopteri; Clupeiformes; Engraulidae. The transcript has 4 exons.